RNAcentral lists this ribosomal RNA (1026 nucleotides) under Mytilinidion sp. Its description in RNAcentral is "SSU rRNA". It matches the Rfam family "Eukaryotic small subunit ribosomal RNA", at positions 73 to 1108 of the family's 1831-position model. Lineage: Eukaryota; Fungi; Ascomycota; Dothideomycetes; Mytilinidiales; Mytilinidiaceae. The record is from RNAcentral.
UAUAUACUGUGAACUGCGAAUGGCUCAUUAAAUCAGUUAUCGUUUAUUUGAUAGUACCUUACUACUUGGAUAACCGUGGUAAUUCUAGAGCUAAUACAUGCUAAAAACCUCGACUUUUGAAGGGGUGUAUUUAUUAGAUAAAAAACCAAUGCCCUUCGGGGCUCUUUGGUGAUUCAUGAUAACUUAACGAAUCGCAUGGCCUUGCGCUGGCGAUGGUUCAUUCAAAUUUCUGCCCUAUCAACUUUCGAUGGUAGGAUAGUGGCCUACCAUGGUUUCAACGGGUAACGGGGAAUUAGGGUUCGAUUCCGGAGAGGGAGCCUGAGAAACGGCUACCACAUCCAAGGAAGGCAGCAGGCGCGCAAAUUACCCAAUCCCGACACGGGGAGGUAGUGACAAUAAAUACUGAUACAGGGCUCUUUUGGGUCUUGUAAUUGGAAUGAGUACAAUUUAAAUCCCUUAACGAGGAACAAUUGGAGGGCAAGUCUGGUGCCAGCAGCCGCGGUAAUUCCAGCUCCAAUAGCGUAUAUUAAAGUUGUUGCAGUUAAAAAGCUCGUAGUUGAACCUUGGGCCUGGCUGGCCGGUCCGCCUCACCGCGUGCACUGGUUCGGCCGGGCCUUUCCUUCUGGGAAUCUGCAUGCCCUUUACUGGGUGUGUUAGGGAACCAGGACUUUUACUUUGAAAAAAUUAGAGUGUUCAAAGCAGGCCUUUGCUCGAAUACAUUAGCAUGGAAUAAUAGAAUAGGACGUGCGGUCCUAUUUUGUUGGUUUCUAGGACCGCCGUAAUGAUUAAUAGGGAUAGUCGGGGGCAUCAGUAUUCAAUUGUCAGAGGUGAAAUUCUUGGAUUUAUUGAAGACUAACUACUGCGAAAGCAUUUGCCAAGGAUGUUUUCAUUAAUCAGUGAACGAAAGUUAGGGGAUCGAAGACGAUCAGAUACCGUCGUAGUCUUAACCGUAAACUAUGCCGACUAGGGAUCGGGCGAUGUUAUUAUUUUGACUCGCUCGGCACCUUACGAGAAAUCAAAGUCUUG